AAGAAGAGAAUGUCAGGUUAGCCAAGAAGACUGCCUGAUACCGACCAAUCAAAACGAUCGAUCUAAACAGACCAAACCCUUUGAAAAGAAGAGACAGGCAAGUCAUCCUUGGCUACCAAACAAACUCUCCUUG
Helianthus annuus (common sunflower) is the source of this 133-nucleotide non-coding RNA. Lineage: Eukaryota; Viridiplantae; Streptophyta; Magnoliopsida; Asterales; Asteraceae. The record is from Rfam.